This 220-nucleotide unclassified non-coding RNA is filed under the name uncultured fungus. RNAcentral's name for it is "sequence contains ITS1". The record is from RNAcentral. Lineage: Eukaryota; Fungi.
AGUUUAAAGAUGCGUUACAUCAAAUUACAUUCAAAUUUAUUACAAUGGAGUUUAUGUAUAAAUAGACGGACCGUCCCCCGAGAGGGUCGAUCCGUCUCACAAGUGCACAGGUGUGUGUGGAUGAAUAGAGAAGGCGUGCACAUGCCUCAGUGAAGAGGCCAGCGACAACCGACUCUGAUUUCAUUCGAUAAUGAUCCUUCCGCAGGUUCACCUACGGAAA